RNAcentral lists this non-coding RNA (155 nucleotides) under Grimontia indica. RNAcentral's name for it is "DABA-DC-AT RNA". It matches the Rfam family "DABA-DC-AT RNA". Lineage: Bacteria; Pseudomonadati; Pseudomonadota; Gammaproteobacteria; Vibrionales; Vibrionaceae. The record is from RNAcentral.
ACAAUCUCGAACGUAGAGCUUUUCGAGACAUACGCGGCGCAAUGUUGAAGAAGUUGUCGUCGCACCGUAGGUACUAGGAAAUGGUUUUCUAGUAGAAGGGCAUUAAUAGAGCUGUCUGGCUUCAACGAAGUCGGGGCAUAUUGAGGAACCCAACA